Molecule: non-coding RNA, 93 nt
Organism: Trichonephila inaurata madagascariensis
Lineage: Eukaryota; Metazoa; Arthropoda; Arachnida; Araneae; Nephilidae
Source: the annotation of a GenBank genome assembly
GUCUUUGUAGCGCAAUGGAUAGCUUGUGAACUUUAAUCCAAAUGGACUGGACUUUUAAUCCAAAGGUCGUGGGUUCAAAUCCCACCUGGGAUG